UCGAGUUAGGGACCGUUUGGGCCCGACCUCCAACCCUGUGUCUACCUUACCACGUUGCUUCGGCGGGCCCGUUGACUCUGGUCGACCGUCGGAGGGUCCUUGGACCCUUUGGCCUGUGCCCGUCGAUGGCCCCUAAUAAAACUCUUGAUGAAAUGUGUCGUCUGAGUAACAAAACAAAAUUAAAUAA
This 187-nucleotide unclassified non-coding RNA is filed under the name uncultured fungus. RNAcentral's name for it is "sequence contains ITS1, 5.8S rRNA gene". Lineage: Eukaryota; Fungi. The record is from RNAcentral.